GGGGGGUAGAGGCUAGUUGAGUUACCGCAGGGCGAGGUAGAGGCUAUUUUGUGCCUCUACAUUAAGUGCCAAGGUGUACAGUAGGGUCUGGGGUUAGAGAACGUGCAUUGGUGCAGGGUCCAUGUCAGUAAAUGUUCUAUAUUCAGACCCCUGGUGAUAACAUGUCCUAUAGCUGCCCUUCUCAGAAUCAUUUCAACCUCGACGAUGACCACCAUGCAGUCAUCCAACAAUAUAGAAAUCAGAAUAGUGGGGCUUACUUAUUUCAACCUGUUCAGAACACAAAACACAUAUUACCAGAUGAGAGAAACAAUAGACAGUCACACAGUCCUGGACAAAGAGAGGAGGCAUAUUGUGCGUAUUUACAGUAGAGUUGCAUUGAGCAGGUGAUACUGGAACUAUCCUGAGGGGUGUACUGUAGGUGUGGUGGAUAGAUUAGGCUUUACAUAGGGAGAGACUGUUCCAGACUGGCAAAAACCCUAGAGAUGCAGAGAGAGCUGGAGGGAGGGAGAGAGAGGGGUGGUGGGGUGCAGAACACACCCACAGCCAGUGAACAGAAUGUUUCAUAACCAGGGGUGACUGGUGUGUCUGUGUUCCAGAGUGUAGAAGAAUAGAAUAGAGAAAAAUCAGGAGCUGAGAGAACACCCCCUGGUGUUGGUAGUGUUGAUGUCACUAUAGGAGGAGCUCUCUGGACAGGAGCUCUCUGUCCACUCACACCCAGUCCAACCCUGGUCUUCUCUUCCUUUCCUCCUCUACUCCUCUGGGAUUGACCUGACCCCUAUUCCUCUCAUCUCCCAUUUCUAUCAUUUCUUCCUCCUGUCCUCCGUGUGGAGCAGUGCCACAGAGCCAUGCACCCCCAGCGUCCUCUCCCCCAGGCCAUGCCCUCCUCCCUCGGGCAGAACCUGCGUGACAUGGCCAUGGGCCUAGGCAGAGGGAAGAACUUCCUUGGUGGGAACAUUGCCUACGGCUUCAUCCAGUCCCUCAAGGAGUGCCUCUACUUCGUACUCUGCUGCUGGUGCAUCAAGGAGAUACUGGACUGACUGACUGAGACACUACGAGAGGGAGAGAGGGGCACGAGGGUGAGGUUCUCUUUCUCCUCUGUUUUUCUCUCACCAGCUAAGAUGUUAAACACAGCGUGUGAAGCGGUUGCCCAUGAUGCAGUUCUGUAUUCCUGUCUGGAGGCUUGGGAAACUGAUGUGCUGCCUGGUGUAUCAGAGGAUCUCUGUCAUUCUCGGAUCCUGAGUCAGUCGGUCUGGAGACCUGCAGUGUGUGUGUGUGUGUGUGUGUGUGUGUGUGUGAAGCAUCAUCUUAACACGAAUCUGCUGAUCCUAGACCUGUGGAGAAACCAAACCUGUGAGGCAAUGGACAUGGCUUUUGAUGCUGCUUAGGUCACAUUUAAUUCCAAGUUUUAUUCAUUUCUGUACAGUCUUAAUAUGCAAGGAAUAAACAAUGUAAUAUCUGAUUUG
Molecule: RNA transcript, 1463 nt
Organism: Oncorhynchus kisutch (coho salmon)
Lineage: Eukaryota; Metazoa; Chordata; Actinopteri; Salmoniformes; Salmonidae
Gene name: lens epithelial cell protein LEP503-like
Exons: 2
Source: RefSeq, a predicted model, not a curated record